This 361-nucleotide RNase P RNA is filed under the name Candidatus Hydrogenedentota bacterium. RNAcentral's name for it is "RNase P RNA component class A". It matches the Rfam family "Bacterial RNase P class A". Rfam says of the family: Ribonuclease P (RNase P) is a ubiquitous endoribonuclease, found in archaea, bacteria and eukarya as well as chloroplasts and mitochondria. Its best characterised activity is the generation of mature 5'-ends of tRNAs by cleaving the 5'-leader elements of precursor-tRNAs. Cellular RNase Ps are ribonucleoproteins. The record is from RNAcentral. Lineage: Bacteria; Pseudomonadati; Candidatus Hydrogenedentota.
CAAGCGGGCUGAACGGUCGCGGCAGGACGCGAGUCCUGUCGAGGAAAGUCCGGGCUCCACAGGGCAGGACGCUUCGUAACGCGAAGGCGGCGUGAGCCGACGGAAAGUGGAACAGAAAAUACACAGCCCGCCUCGGCGGGCAACGGUGAAAAGGUGCGGUAAGAGCGCACCAGCGUCGUGGCGACACGGCGGCUUUUCAAACCCCGUCCGGAGCAAGUCCAAAUAGGGAACCAUUGGCGUUGCCCGCGCCGGUUCCGGGUAGGACGCUCGAGACGCAUGGCGACAUGCGUCCCAGAUGAAUGGCCGUUCACGGGCGCGCAAGCGCCCCGGACAGAACCCGGCUUACAGGCCCGCUUGCUUU